AAGAAAGGCAAUCUUGAUAAACUGUACCCUAAGAUCAAUCAGUCUAAUACUCUCCAUCGAAUCAGAAAAAAUAUCUUUCAUCCUAUAAUCUCGUUUAAUCUUAAAUUACAAUUUUGUUCAAUAUUUUUUUCGAUACAAAAUAUAAAAUGAUUCUAAAAAUAUUUAAAUAUGAAAAUAUUUAAUCCUUCAAAAAUUUUAAAUUUAAUUUUAAAUUUGUAUGAAUUCAAAUGAUAAAACACUCUGAAAUAAUAAUUAUAUCGAGUCCUCAGUGUUUAAACUUUAGACUUUUAGACUCCCUGUUCGAAUAUCUUUAAGGAGCGCGAUAAAUACAGGAGGAUCAGCAUUAGUGGUCAGGACUUGGAAUAUCACGGACUACGAAUUAUAUAAAUCCUCCGACAAAUCCAGAUGGCUUUAGCACGUGUAUAAGGUGUAACCGAAAUCAUAGAAUGGAAGAAAGAAAAUUUAUGUUAAAUGUAUGAAUU
Molecule: long non-coding RNA, 482 nt
Organism: Apis dorsata (giant honeybee)
Lineage: Eukaryota; Metazoa; Arthropoda; Insecta; Hymenoptera; Apidae
Exons: 3
Source: RefSeq, a predicted model, not a curated record